Molecule: ribosomal RNA, 433 nt
Filed under: uncultured bacterium
Lineage: Bacteria
Description: partial 16S ribosomal RNA
Rfam family: Bacterial small subunit ribosomal RNA
Source: RNAcentral
GACGAACGCUGGCGGCAUGCCUAACACAUGCAAGUCGAACGGAAACGUCGGGUCUAGUGGCGCACGGCGGCGUGAGAACGGGGGACCAGCACUUAAGUUAGCAGUACCUGACCGAGGGAGAUGCUCAUGAAAGAGGGUGUAAUAGGGGAAAGGAGUUCUCGCUGUAGGAUGGGCGUGGGUUAGUUUCGCUGGUUGGUAGGGUACAAGCCUACCAUGGCGACGUUCCAUAGCUGGUCGGAGAGGAUGACCUGUCACACUGGGACUGAGACACGGCCCAGACUCGUACGGGAGGCAGCAGUGUGGAAUAUUGGACAAUGGGCGAAAGUCUGAUCCAGCAACGCCGCGGGAGAGAGGAAGCCCUUAGGGUUGCAAAGCUCUUUUACCCGGGAUGAUAAUGACAGUACCGGGUGAAUAAGCACCGGCUAACUCCGUG